RNAcentral lists this ribosomal RNA (465 nucleotides) under uncultured bacterium. Its description in RNAcentral is "partial 16S ribosomal RNA". It matches the Rfam family "Bacterial small subunit ribosomal RNA", at positions 338 to 795 of the family's 1533-position model. The record is from RNAcentral.
CCUACGGGGGGCAGCAGUGGGGAAUAUUGCGCAAUGGGCGAAAGCCUGACGCAGCGACGCCGCGUGAGGGAUGAAGGUCUUCGGAUCGUAAACCUCUGUCAGCAGGGAAGCACGGUCACUGUGCUAAUCAGCAGUGAAUUGACGGUACCUGCAAAGGUAGCACCGGCUAACUCCGUGCCAGCAGCUGCGGUAAUACGGAGGGUGCGAGCGUUAAUCGGUAUUACUGGGGGUAAACCGCGCGUAGGCGGUAUGUCAAGUCAAGGGUGAAAUUGCCGCGCUUAACGGGGGAACUGCCUUUGAAACUGGCAACCUGGAGUGUGUGCGAGGUGAGUGGAAUUCCGGGUGUAGGAGUGAAAUCCGUAGAUAUCUGGAGGAACAUCAGUGGCGAAGGCGACUAUCUGGCACAUAACUGACGCUGAGGAGCGAAAGCGUGGGUAGCAAACAGGAUUAGAUACCCUAGUAGUC